Gopherus flavomarginatus (Mexican gopher tortoise) is the source of this 1069-nucleotide RNA transcript. It is a transcript of the gene named phosphatidylinositol glycan anchor biosynthesis class F, with no coding region annotated. The transcript has 7 exons. NCBI's taxonomy places the organism in Eukaryota, Metazoa, Chordata, Testudines, Testudinidae. The record is from RefSeq and is a predicted model, not a curated record.
CGCGCGGCUACCGACGCAGAGACUAGAAAGAAGGAGCAGGUGAGCCCCGUGACCUCUGACCUCGCGUUCGGCGUAGCCGCGCCCACUGCCUCAUGGGUAAGACUCAGGUGGAUAUUCAAGAUAGAACACCAUGAAAGAUACAGAAAUAAAGAGACUGCUGUCUGCCAACGUUGUCUCUGUUUUGUCCAUUAUCCUAACAACUACUGUUCCACCUCUCUUCUUGGAGAACUUCUCAGUUUUGGGAACACACCUUAUCUGGUUGUGCAUCUGUUCUAUUUGUGUAACUACUGUAAAUAUAAUCUUGUAUAUAAUACUUAAACCAAAUCCAUCUUCUAAGAGAAUUUCAUUUGCUCACAAGGUAACCAGAUUUCUAAAAUGCUGUGUGUUCUUCUUCAUAUCAUGUAUACUGUUUCAUGGAAUUAUCGUUCUUUAUGGAGCACCACUAAUAGAGUCAGUGCUUGAGACAUUUCUGUUUGCAGUACUCCUAUCUACAUUUACUACUUUACACUGCUUGUGUAUGCUGGGACCAAACAUCCAAGCAUGGAUAAGGGUAUUCAGUAAAAAUGGAGCUAUGUCCAUCUGGGAUAACAGUCUGCAGAUUACUACGAUGUGUAGCAUAGUGGGAGCAUGGUUUGGAGCAUUUCCUAUUCCUCUGGAUUGGGAUCGGCCUUGGCAGGUGUUGCGGAGGGCUCAGAUGGAUGAAGAGUGUUUUUAACACCUGGGGCCUGAUUCGCGUGGUUGCAGGGUAUGCUGGUGGGGCCCAAAGGCGGUGAGCUCCUUUUACACUGAGAAGCGUGGACCCAAGUGGCGAGCCCUUGGCACUUCACCGCAGUAUGGGUGGUUGACGAAACCUGAUAUGGACCCUUCCACCUUGGUUCCAGGGGAGGCUUGCGCUGGUGGACCUUGAAAUAAAUCCAGUCUCCGGUCUGUAAAGGCUGGUACAUAGUCUUUGCCGGGUUGGGCAAGGCGCUUUGGACCUAUCUGGCCCAUUUCCUGUUCCCUCGGAGCUACCUUUGGCUACGUGGCUGGCCUCAUUAUUGCACCUCUGUGGAUAUACUGGAAUCGGAAG